This is a non-coding RNA of Paramuricea clavata, 1269 nucleotides long. NCBI's taxonomy places the organism in Eukaryota, Metazoa, Cnidaria, Anthozoa, Malacalcyonacea, Plexauridae. The record is from the annotation of a GenBank genome assembly.
AUUUUCUUUAUGCGUUUUGGCAAUGUUUUCCAAAUGCAUUUUAGCUCAUAACUUUUUGUUUUGCAGUAGCUAAUGUAAAAGUUUUGUAUUUGUUUUUAUUAUGUUUGCAAUUUUUGUACUGUAUUUUAAUAUACAUAUGUUUGAAAAAAAGCUCGAUUAUGUCUUGGUGUCCAAGAGUCGGUCAGAGAUGUGAUAUUUUGUCGGAAAACACUAGUAUCAAACCUUCUUAAUACAAGGAAGUCUUCGAUAGAAAGAGGGAAAGUUUUGGAGUCCAUUGCUGACAAGUUGUGCGACAUGAGACAGCUGACUUCCGUAUCAACGAAAUGUCUGUGAGGGACCAUUGCAAGAAGCUUAAAGUACGGUACAACAGGAAGGCUCGAAAGGAGUUUGAUGUCAGUGGUAGAAUCUCAGCCCAGGUCAUAGUGAUUUUGAUGUGAUGUUAGAGGAAAUAGUGGAAAGAGAAGAGGUUACAGAUUCUGAAAGGGAGAAUGUUGACAGUGAAAGACAAAUAAUAAAGGCAGAUAAAUUGGCGUGAGCUGAUAUCAGGAGAAAGGCUAUGGAGACUGCUUCAGAGACUCAGGAAAGGAAUGCUGGAGAAGGCGAGGAAAGUGGAAACAAGAAAAGACGGAGAAGUGGAGACGAAGCAAGUUGCAUAUUUACGGGAGGAGGGGGAUGGAAAUGGAGCCACUAAAAGAGAAAGUGGAAUGAAAUAAAUCAGAGAUUGAUUUGGGAUAAAACAGACAACGGCAACGACAACAACAAGUGGACAAACUAAGCAAUAUAUUUGAACAACAAGCAACAUGAUGAAAAUGAUGAUGGACUAACAACAACAACAGCAACAACAACAAAUGGACGCCAUGUAAAUGAUGAUGCUAUACGGCAACAACAGAGUCAGGAAAUGAUGGUCCUUCUUGAAAAACUUUCAAAAUAGACUUAUGUGCUACAUUAUGCCAUCACAUAUUGUGAAAUUAGUAACUGAAAGUCCCCGAAAGCUGAAGGAGGACUGUCCAAGUAUUUCAUAAAUCCUCCCGAUGCUUGAGAAGAUAUUUAACACCAGUUUCCCAAAUGCCAUAUAUGGUAUUCUUAUUCGGCUCAAUCCUCAUCGGUAUUUCUUGAAUAAUUUUUGAACCUAUUGAAAUACACAAAAACAAUGUUUAAAUAUUAAAUUACAUUUAAAUUUACUUCAAUAUUUAAAUUUACUUCAAUACAUUAUUAAUAAUAAUUUCAAUUGUUGAAAAUACCUUAUUUAUUCCAGAGAGCGUAAAACAG